Molecule: long non-coding RNA, 1338 nt
Filed under: Chinchilla lanigera (long-tailed chinchilla)
Lineage: Eukaryota; Metazoa; Chordata; Mammalia; Rodentia; Chinchillidae
Description: lncRNA (ENSCLAG00000022511.1)
Source: RNAcentral
GUUUUAAGCAAGUGGAAUCUUGGGAAAUGAAAAUCACAAAAGGUUCAUUAUGCUUCAUGUCUUCCUUGUCUCCCUGACUUCCGACGUAUGGAACGCUGUAUGGUCGAAACUUCCACGGUACGUCUUCAAGUAAGUUAAUAUGUGAAUGCUCGGGAUGCUUUACCUCCUUCAUCCCUCCGGAUGCGCACUGAAGGCCAUGCUUCUUCCUCACGCUGCGGAAAAGAGCCCCGAAGAGGUUUUGAGUAAGUGGCCUACAGUCACGUGGGACAGCCAUCGCUUGACCAGGUCUCAGUCAGUUCACGACCGACCAUUCCAUUCAGUUCAGCCCAGUUACCUGCUGAAGUUUACUGCCCAGAUCUGCCAUCCUGUGACCACUGGCUCUUCUCCAAAAUCAAAAUGAUCACAAAAUGCAAACAUUCUGAAUUGAUCUGGAACAUCAGGGCAGUCACAACAGCACAAUGAAACGCACUCAUGAAAGAAGACUUCCAGAACUGCUUCAGAAUGUAACAAGCAUGACGGGAUAAGUGUUUCGAAGCCAGGUUGCUCUGAUGCCGUCAAUCCUCACAGGUGUGACUGCAGGACACACUGGACAUCCCAGCGAUCUUCACCAUCUGCCCUGACAAAAUGGACAUGUGGUAGGUGCAGGAAGAGGCGAUGGUCCAGGGUGUGGGAGCUGCUGUCCCUCUGCAGGGAUGACUGGCCUAACAGAGCUCUCGAAGAGGCCUGCCACCCUUGCACAUCAUCGACAGCAGCGUGCUUUAUAGACUCUGACAUCGGAAUCCACAGCGGUGUUCUGGCUAUGCUCCGGGAUUCGAGCAGCAAUUUCAUCACAAGAACUAUCGGCAGUCCUUCGGCUGCUUUGAACUGCAGCUGGGGGCGUCUGUCCCGGUCUCUGCCCUCCCUCCACUUCACAGCCACGUUUCCAGCCAGGCCCGUCUUCCUUCCCGCUCACCCCCAGCGCACACAGCUCGAGUGUGCUUCGUGACAAGUCUGGAACCAUGCCCUUUAAGAGCCAGAUAAAUGGGCACGCAGAGUCCACGGCUCACAGGCUUCAAGAGAAUGCUGAUUUGCUCAUGGAAGCCAUUCAAAGGGUUCCAGGGCCCAUCCGCGGAGCUGUCACAUUGUUAGACCACAUUAAACACAGGCCUGUGCAAUAUUGAUGUGUUUCGUAACUUCAGAAAUAACAAAAACCUCAACUGCUUCCAGGCUUUUAAUUUCCUUUUGUAACCAUUGUUAACUGACACUUCAAUGCAAAAUUAAAAACUAAUCCUCCAUUUUACCCCUCCAAACUCUCCCCCUGUCUCUAUUUCGACCUCUAAUACCCCCCAAAAGAGUCCA